AGCGAACGCUGGCGGCGUGCCUAACACAUGCAAGUCGAACGUGAACGGGGGUAACCCCUAGUAAAGUGGCGUACGGGUGAGUAACGCGUAGGUAAUCUACCCCAGAGUUUCGAAUAACCUGCCGAAAGGCGGGCUAAUACGAAUAGAGCGAGGGAAUCCGUAAUUGGGUUUUUCGGGUAAAGGGAGGUCGUAAGACCCCUUGCGUUUGGAUGAGCCUGCGUCUCAUUAGCUAGUUGGUAAGGUAACGCUUACCAAGGCGAUGAUGGUAGCUGGUCUGAGAGGAUGAUCAG
Molecule: ribosomal RNA, 290 nt
Filed under: uncultured bacterium
Lineage: Bacteria
Description: partial 16S ribosomal RNA
Rfam family: Bacterial small subunit ribosomal RNA
Source: RNAcentral